RNAcentral lists this ribosomal RNA (406 nucleotides) under uncultured bacterium. RNAcentral describes it as "partial 16S ribosomal RNA". It matches the Rfam family "Bacterial small subunit ribosomal RNA", at positions 29 to 526 of the family's 1533-position model. The record is from RNAcentral.
AUUGAACGCUGGCGGCAGGCCUAACACAUGCAAGUCGAGCGAGCGGCGGACGGGUGAGAAAUGUGUGGGAAACUGCCUGAUGUAGGGGGAUAACUACUGUAAACGGUAGCUAAUACCGCAUACCCUCUGAUGUGCCCCGAUGGGAUUAGCUAGUAGGUGGGGUAACGGCUCACCUAGGCGACGAUCCCUAGCUGGUCUGAGAGGAUGACCAGCCACACUGGAACGGAGACACGGUCCAGACUCCUACGGGAGGCAGCAGUGGGGAAUAUUGCACAAUGGGCGCAAGCCUGAGGCAGCCAUGCCGCGGGGGUGAAGAAGGCCUUCGGGUUGUAAAGCACUUUCAGCGGGGAGGCGUUACCCGCAGAAGAAGCACCGGCUAACUCCGUGCCAGCAGCCGCGGUAAUUC